This 560-nucleotide ribosomal RNA is filed under the name Hydra vulgaris (swiftwater hydra). RNAcentral's name for it is "partial 16S ribosomal RNA". It matches the Rfam family "Bacterial large subunit ribosomal RNA", at positions 1835 to 2594 of the family's 2925-position model. Lineage: Eukaryota; Metazoa; Cnidaria; Hydrozoa; Anthoathecata; Hydridae. The record is from RNAcentral.
CCUCUAAAAUAUUGAAGGUGAAACCUGCCCAAUGAUAUAAAGAUAAUUAUAACCUAAUUUUAAUAAUAUUAAAUGGAUGCAAUAACUCUGACUGUAAUAAAGUAGCAUAAUUAGUUGUCAUUUAAUUGAUGGAGAGAAUGAAUGGUUACACAAUUUUUCACUGUCUUAAGAAAAAGUUUUUAAAAUUGAAAUAAUAGUUAAGAUGCUAUUUAAAAUUGGAAGGCGAAGAGACCCUAUAGAGCUUUACUAUAAACUUUUUUUUGAAAGAUAAUAAAAAAUUAUUAAAAUUAGAAAGUUUGGGUGACUGUUUUUAAAAAAUAAGCAAUACACUAAAUUUGUUGUAUAAUUAAACAAUUUAACAAUUACUAUAGUAGGCUAUAAUGACCCGUUAUCAUAAUAAAAAAUAGAUAAUGAUUAAUUAAUAAAAGCUACCUUAGGGAUAACAGGAUAAUUCUAUUUUAAAGUCCUCAUCAAAAACAAAGUUUGUCACCUCUAUGUCGAAUUAAGAUGUCCUAAUAAUGCAGUAGUUAUUGAGGGUAGGUCUGUUUGACCUUUAAAAU